Molecule: ribosomal RNA, 429 nt
Filed under: Pseudomonadota bacterium
Lineage: Bacteria; Pseudomonadati; Pseudomonadota
Description: Proteobacteria bacterium partial 16S ribosomal RNA
Rfam family: Bacterial small subunit ribosomal RNA
Source: RNAcentral
UGGGGAAUAUUGGACAAUGGGCGAAAGCCUGAUCCAGCCAUGCCGCGUGUGUGAAGAAGGUCUUCGGAUUGUAAAGCACUUUAAGUUGGGAGGAAGGGCAGUAAGCGAAUACCUUGCUGUUUUGACGUUACCGACAGAAUAAGCACCGGCUAACUCUGUGCCAGCAGCCGCGGUAAUACAGAGGGUGCAAGCGUUAAUCGGAAUUACUGGGCGUAAAGCGCGCGUAGGUGGUUCGUUAAGUUGAAUGUGAAAGCCCCGGGCUCAACCUAGGAACUGCAUCCAAAACUGGCGAGCUAGAGUAGGGCAGAGGGUGGUGGAAUUUCCUGUGUAGCGGUGAAAUGCGUAGAUAUAGGAAGGAACACCAGUGGCGAAGGCGACCACCUGAGCUCAUACUGACACUGAGGUGCGAAAGCGUGGGGAGCAAACAGG